AGUAACAUUAGACGAGGGAAACAAAAUUGGCAGCCUAGGUGCAUCAUGGUGAAACUUUCAAUACUCAGUAUUCGCGCUCUUUACACCUGUCACUUCCGUCCUGUAAGAGAUCAGCAGAUAGCGCUGGAGGAGGGAGAUGAGAGGGGGGCGGGGGGGAGAGCAGCCUCGAAUCUGGCAUAGCAAUCAGCAAAACAGAGUCAUCGCUCAUUCCUUGUUAAUUCUGCAAAAGCAUGGAAAUAUGGUUCAACUUCUGAAUUUAAGUCCAGAUUGCAAAACUGCUUCCUUCGAAAUCUCUCAAAUGCCGCCAGUGGUUCACUAUCCAAAGUCCAUUCAGUAGUAUCUCUCUGUCCAAGGUAGGCUACAUCUGGAUUUUUCUCAAGCUCAGCAUACUCAGGGGUCCCUGGUUCAGGCAUGAAUCGACGGCUUAAGGAUGGACGGUUAGGG
Molecule: long non-coding RNA, 444 nt
Organism: Populus euphratica (Euphrates poplar)
Lineage: Eukaryota; Viridiplantae; Streptophyta; Magnoliopsida; Malpighiales; Salicaceae
Exons: 3
Source: RefSeq, a predicted model, not a curated record